Molecule: ribosomal RNA, 485 nt
Filed under: Blastocystis sp.
Lineage: Eukaryota; Bigyra; Opalinata; Blastocystidae
Also listed under: 1 other name
Description: partial small subunit ribosomal RNA
Rfam family: Eukaryotic small subunit ribosomal RNA
Source: RNAcentral
UUGGAGGUAGUGACAAUAAAUCACAAUGCGGAACAAUGUUUUGCAAUUGGAUUGAGAACAACGUACAAACCUUAUCGAUAAACAAUUGGAGGGCAAGUCUGGUGCCAGCAGCCGCGGUAAUUCCAGCUCCAAUAGCGUAUAUUAACGUUGUUGCAGUUAAAAAGCUCGUAGUUGAAAUGAAGGGUAGUUGUGUAAUGAAUACAUUCGUGUAUUUUGUUAUUCUACUACCCUCCUUCUAAAUUCGAUAUAUGAGUAUUAAUUUACUUGUAUAUGGUUUUAGACUUUUACUGUGAGAAAAUUAGAGUGUUCAAAGCAGGCAUUUGCUUGAAUAUAUUAGCAUGGAAUAAUCAUGUAUGAUUUUCAUGAUGUAUUUGAUUGGUUUGGUUCAUGAGAAUAAGAUUAAAAGGGACAGUUGGGGGUAUUCAUAUUCAAUAGUCAGAGGUGAAAUUCUCGGAUUUAUGGAAGAUGAACAAGUGCGAAAGCAA